AUGGAGCUGAGUCCCGGGCGUCGCCUGCGUUUCGCGCAGCCGCAGCUCUGUUGCCCAAGCGGCGGCGGCGGCGAACCGGAUCGCAUCAGCUCCCUCCCGCAGGAGCUCCUCCUCCUCAUUCUCGCCCUCAUGGGAUGCGCUGCCACGGCCGCGCGCACCAGCGUCCUCUCCCGUCGGUGGCGCGAUCUCUGGACGCAUCUCCGCCAGAUCGUCUUCCACAACCUCGCGCCGUCGAUUGCAGCGGCGGUCGGCCGUGUCCGUGGCCCCCCGGCCGCGGUCUCCCUCCUGGAAGUCCGCGUCCCCAACGCCAGCAGGCAUCCCUGGCCCGUCGGCGCCACGGCCAGCAGGCUGCUCCGCGCUGCCGUGCGGCUGCAGCCGGAGGAGAUCGUCCUCAUCUUCCCGUGGAGCGUCGAAUCUGAAGGCGGACCGAACCUCGUGCGGCUGCCGUGCUUCCAGCAGACCAAAUCUCUCAUGAUGGAAAGGCUUCUCUUCUACUGCCCCGACGGCGAGUUCACCGCGCUCCGGACGCUCUCCAUCUCCUACGGCCUGGGCGGCCUCCACAGCUUGCUCCCCCGAUGCCCGCACCUCCGCGUGCUCAGCCUGAAGUUUGUCAACGAUGGCUACGGACUUGUCCAGAAUGGGUUGAUCUCACUCCACUUGCCAUCGCUGCAGGAACUUUUCCUUGAAACCCGCAUACUACACACAGAUGCAGUCGACAUCGUCGCCCCUCUGCUGAAGCGACUGACGGUGUCUGUAGGCGCUUACAAGGUGGUCAGCAGCAUCUCCGUCUCGGCGCCAGUGCUGGAGAAGGUUUCGUGGGAGUGGUGGUAUUUCGAGGCCGGAAGCAUUGUUCAGUUUGGUCCUUGGAGACUCCAGAGGUUGUGGAUACACAGAGGAGAGAGACAGGGACAGCUUCUGUCGCUCCACAUUCAUGCAUCACAUAGCUGGUUUAUUUCCAAUCAAGACAACUUAGCGCAGGAGGUAGAGAAGCACAUGGUUGUUGAUUUCGCUCUUUUGGGGCUACGUCUCCUAAAAGCCGGACAUGUUUUUGGAGCACUGGUGUUUCAUCUCCUCGGGAUUAAUCGUAUUUCUAGAGGAGUACAGAGGCUUAAGAUCGUCCUAGAGAGAUCGCUGCUGAAAGGAGAAUGCCCGCCACACUGUCCAUGUGAACCCACAAACUGGAGAUCUCAAACUAUCUCCUCGACUGCUCUCGAAGAAGUGGAAAUCACUGGCUUCGAAGGACAGGAACACGAGUUUGAUUUGCUGGAAUUAAUACUCAAAUGUGCGCCAGUGCUUAAAAAAUGA
RNAcentral lists this ribosomal RNA (1305 nucleotides) under Triticum aestivum (bread wheat). RNAcentral's name for it is "partial small subunit ribosomal RNA". Lineage: Eukaryota; Viridiplantae; Streptophyta; Magnoliopsida; Poales; Poaceae. The record is from RNAcentral.